This is a long non-coding RNA of Pseudopipra pipra, 576 nucleotides long. RefSeq lists it as uncharacterized. The transcript is spliced from 2 exons. The record is from RefSeq and is a predicted model, not a curated record. Lineage: Eukaryota; Metazoa; Chordata; Aves; Passeriformes; Pipridae.
CCACCAGCCCCACCCGCGGGAGGCCCUGCGGGGUUGGGCCGCGCUGAGCGGGAGCCCCGCGGCGCUGUCCCGCCUACGCACCGCAUCCCCCGGACUGGGAGCUGCGCCUCCGGGAAGGGCAGCCUGGGGCAGCGCCGCCGCCUGAGGGCGGCUCUUCCCCCGCGGACACCCGCGUGGCCUCGGGGCAACGCUGCGGGGCGGCCGCGCCUCUCACCCGCCUGUGGGCGCGGGGCAAGGAGCGGCGCCAGCCCCUCCGCUGAAAGUCCUAGGACAGGAAAGCUAGUAGAGGACCUUGUCCUGCAAAUUAGGAGCUGGAGGGAGCAUCCUUACUGUUAUCUGGAUUCCUCAGCCUCAAGAAGGUCUGUUUAAUCAAUAAAUGACUGUGCCAAAGCAGACCUGCAGCCUAUGUGGUUACUAGCUGAUACCCCUAGAGGUGUGCCUGUUUAAACAUGUUUAACUAUUGUUUUAAGCUUAACUUUCUACUAAAGUCACUUAAAUGUAGCUUCCUCCUAAAUAUGUGCUUAUUUACUCAAAAUAAAGAAGCUAAGCUAUACCAUGUACUCUAAUAAAACAGUA